GACGAACGCUGGCGGCGUGGAUUAGGCAUGCAAGUCGAACGGUAGGAUCCUUUCGGGGAUCUGAGAGUGGCGAACGGGUGAGUAACACGUAGGUGAUCUACCCUCAAGACGGGGACAACCCAGGGAAACUUGGGCUAAUACCGGAUGUGAGCUAUCGCGAGAUAGUUUGAAAGGUGGCUUCGGCUGCCGCUUGAGGAUGAGCCUGCGUCCUAUUAGCUAGUUGGUGAGGUAACGGCUCACCGAGGCAGUGAUAGGUAGGCGGCCUUAACGGGUGGUCGCCCACACUGGGAUUGAGAUACGGCCCAGACUCCUACGGGAGGCAGCAGUCGAGAAUAGUCUACAAUGGUCGAAAGACUGAUAGUGCGACGCCGCGUGAACGAAGAAGCCCUUCGGGGUGUAAAGUUCUUUUAUAUGUGAGCAGUGACACCCAUAUUAAUAGUAUGGGUGUAGAGAUAUUAGCAUAUGAAUAAGCAACGGCUAACUCCGUGCCCAGCACG
This 497-nucleotide ribosomal RNA is filed under the name uncultured bacterium. RNAcentral describes it as "bacterial SSU rRNA". It matches the Rfam family "Bacterial small subunit ribosomal RNA", at positions 28 to 515 of the family's 1533-position model. The record is from RNAcentral.